GAAGCAUUGUACAAGAGUUGUACACUCAUCCAUCUAUGUGUCACCAAUAACUGUUAGGUGAGGUGGCAUGUAAAUCGGUGGGACCGCAGUACCCACUAGAAACCCUAGUCGUGUGGGAUUUCCGUUUCCCUACCAGGGGAGUGUGAGGGAUUCGAGAAAAUAGUGGGAGUUACAUUUGUUCUAAAAGACCUUAGAACAGAUUAGGAUCAAGUACAAAAGUCUAAUUAGAAUCUUUACUCUCUGCAGAUACAAUGUCAGCUUCAAACUCUUUGACCCGUAUUCUUGAGACCAACCGACUGACCGGAACCAAUUACAAAGACUGGCUUAGAAACCUCAAAAUUGUUUUGGACUGUGAGAAAAUAGGCUACAUACUCGAUUCAGAUAUCCCCACACUACCAGCACGUC
This 405-nucleotide long non-coding RNA is filed under the name Phoenix dactylifera (date palm). Its description in RNAcentral is "long non-coding RNA (PDAC_LNC016738)". Lineage: Eukaryota; Viridiplantae; Streptophyta; Magnoliopsida; Arecales; Arecaceae. The record is from RNAcentral.